RNAcentral lists this ribosomal RNA (253 nucleotides) under uncultured bacterium. Its description in RNAcentral is "partial 16S ribosomal RNA". It matches the Rfam family "Bacterial small subunit ribosomal RNA", at positions 524 to 776 of the family's 1533-position model. The record is from RNAcentral.
UACGUAGGGUGCGAGCGUUAAUCGGAAUUACUGGGCGUAAAGCGUGCGCAGGCGGUUUUGUAAGCCAGAUGUGAAAGCCCCGGGCUCAACCUGGGAAUGGCAUUUGGGACUGCAAGGCUUGAGUGCGGCAGGGGAGACUAGAAUUCCUGGUGUAGCAGUGAAAUGCGUAGAUAUCAGGAGGAAUACCGAUGGCGAAGGCAGGUCUCUGGGCUGACACUGACGCUCAUGCACGAAAGCGUGGGGAGCAAACAGG